RNAcentral lists this ribosomal RNA (465 nucleotides) under uncultured bacterium. Its description in RNAcentral is "partial 16S ribosomal RNA". It matches the Rfam family "Bacterial small subunit ribosomal RNA", at positions 338 to 795 of the family's 1533-position model. The record is from RNAcentral.
CCUACGGGGAGCAGCAGUGGGGAAUAUUGCGCAAUGGGCGAAAGCCUGACGCAGCGACGCCGCGUGAGGGAUGAAGGUCUUCGGAUCGUAAACCUCUGUCAGCAGGGAAGAACGGUCACUGUGCUAAUCAGCAGUGAAUUGACGGUACCUGCAAAGGAAGCACCGGCUAACUCCGUGCCAGCAGCCGCGGUAAUACGGAGGGUGCGAGCGUUAAUCGGAAUUACUGGGCGUGAAGCGCUCGUAGGCGGUAUGUCAAGUCAAGGGGGAAAUCCCCGCGCUCAACGUGUGAACGGCUUUUGAAACUGGCAAACUGGAGUGUGUGAGAGGAUAGUGGAAUUCCAGGUGUAGGAGUGAAAUCCGUAGAUAUCUGGAGGAACAUCAGUGGCGAAGGCGACUAUCUGGCACAUAACUGACGCUGAGGAGCGAAAGCGUGGGUAGCAAACAGGAUUAGAUACCCCUGUAGUC